This 497-nucleotide ribosomal RNA is filed under the name uncultured bacterium. Its description in RNAcentral is "partial 16S ribosomal RNA". It matches the Rfam family "Bacterial small subunit ribosomal RNA", at positions 28 to 507 of the family's 1533-position model. The record is from RNAcentral.
GACGAACGCUGGCGGCGUGCCUAAUACAUGCAAGUUGAGCGAUGAAGAUUGGUGCUUGCACCAAUUUGAAGAGCAGCGAACGGGUGAGUAACGCGUGGGGAAUCUGCCUUUGAGCGGGGGACAACAUUUGGAAACGAAUGCUAAUACCGCAUAACAACUUUAAACAUAAGUUUUAAGUUUGAAAGAUGCAAUUGCAUCACUCAAAGAUGAUCCCGCGUUGUAUUAGCUAGUUGGUGAGGUAAAGGCUCACCAAGGCGAUGAUACAUAGCCGACCUGAGAGGGUGAUCGGCCACAUUGGGACUGAGACACGGCCCAAACUCCUACGGGAGGCGGCAGUAGGGAAUCUUCGGCAAUGGACGAAAGUCUGACCGAGCAACGCCGCGUGAGUGAAGAAGGGUUUCGGAUCGUAAAACUCUGUUGGUAGAGAAGAACGUUGGUGAGAGUGGAAAGCUCAUCAAGUGACGGUAACUACCCAGAAAGGGACGGCUAACUACGUG